This 274-nucleotide ribosomal RNA is filed under the name uncultured bacterium. Its description in RNAcentral is "partial 16S ribosomal RNA". It matches the Rfam family "Bacterial small subunit ribosomal RNA", at positions 523 to 796 of the family's 1533-position model. The record is from RNAcentral.
AUACGGAGGGUGCGAGCGUUAUCCGGAUUUAUUAGGUUUAAAGGGUGUGUAGGCGGGAGCCUAAGUCAGUGGUGAAAUCUCACAGCUUAACUGUGAAACUGCCAUUGAAACUGGGUUUCUUGAGUAUAGUUGAGGUAGGCGGAAUGUGUAAUGUAGCGGUGAAAUGCAUAGAUAUUACACAGAACACCGAUUGCGAAGGCAGCUUACUAAGCUAUUACUGACGCUGAUGCACGAAAGCGUGGGUAGCGAACAGGAUUAGAUACCCGCGUAGUCC